RNAcentral lists this ribosomal RNA (1128 nucleotides) under Triticum aestivum (bread wheat). Its description in RNAcentral is "partial small subunit ribosomal RNA". The record is from RNAcentral. Lineage: Eukaryota; Viridiplantae; Streptophyta; Magnoliopsida; Poales; Poaceae.
AUGGGUAAGCUGCUAGCCUUGAAGGAACUAUAUGGUGAUUGGGAUACAAGCUUUGAUAAUCUGUAUAGUUUUAAGGCACAAAUUGAAAGGUGCUGCCCCGGUAGCAUAGUGAUAAUUGAGCACCACACAAUAAAAGAUAAAAUCAGAUUUAAGAGAUUUUUUGUCGCUUUGAAGCCUUGCAUCGACGGGUUCCUUAGUGGUUGCAGGCCAUACUUGGCAGUAGAUAGCACCUUCUUGACAGGCAGAUUCAAGGGGCAACUGGCUAGUGCUACCGCUGUUGAUGGCCAUAGUUGGAUGUAUCCAGUCAGUAUGGGUGUUUUUGAUUCUGAAACUAAUGAGAACUGGAUCUGGUUCAUGCAAUUGGUUAGGCAAGCCAUAGGAUCCCCAAGGGGUUUAACCAUAUGCACCGACGCUGGGCAGCCAGUGAUGACCGGUGUAAAAGAAGUGUUCCCAGAGGCUGAACAUAGGGAAUGUAUGUUUCACUUGGUGUCCAACUUCAAGAAGAAGUUUCAUGGAAAGGUUUUUGAUUACCACCUUUGGGCUGCUGCUUACUCAUGGAACCCAUAUUUAUUUGAGAAAAAUUGGGUUGCAAUGGACAUAGCAAAGCCAACGGCAACUGCAUAUCUUUGGAAGUGGCACACUAGGUUGUGGUCUAGGAGUCAGUUCUCAACAAUUUCCAAGGUGGAUUAUGUUACAAACAACUUGGCUGAGUGCUUCAAUAAUUGGAUUAAGCAUCACAAGUCCUUGAACUUGGACGACUUCUUUGAUAAGCUUAGGCAAUUGAUUAUGAUCAUGUGGAACCGAAGGAGAAAGGUAGCAAGAAAGUUAGUUGGGUUGAUUCUUCCCCACAUAAUUAAGAAGUUGAAUGCAAAGACCAGAGAAUUAAACUUGGAGGUGGUUGAAAGCUCAGAAGAAGUUGCUGAAGUAACCGCAUUGGGAGGCAGCGGCUUUAGGUUUGUGGUCAACUUGCUUGACAGGACAUGUUCUUGUAGACAAUGGGAAGUUUCUGGCCUUCCUUGCAAACAUGGUCUAGCAUUUAUCACAUCUCUUACCAAUGCACGCAUAGAGAACUAUGUGGACUUGUGUUACUCCAUUCACAAAUUUAGAGCAGCGCUUAUGACCAACUAA